GUAUAUAUUUUUUUGUCUCCUCAGUUACAGUUUAUUAUUCGAAAUAUCAUUUUACUUCAAGUGUCUAAAAAUAUAUUGGAUGGCUAGAUUAAAAUAGGACUGGUGAUAUUGUGCAAGACUAUGAACUUUUAUUAUGCUUGGAACAAAUGUAACUGACAGGUUCAGACAAGGCACUCAACAAAGAUUUACAAUAAGCAGUUUUUUCCAUCGUACUGGUUUUACUAUUUUAUUCUGUUAUCAGUGUCUUAGCCAGAUCUAUAGAAAUAAUGAAUUAUUUUAAAUUCUUUCUUUUAAGAUUUAUUAUUCUUAUUAUUUGGAUUUCAUCACUAUUAAAAAUUAAUUUAGUAUAGUAAACACGCAAAAUAUGCAUUUUGGUACUAAUGCCCGACUAUUGUUCUUGUGUGUAAUUUCAUUACUGAUGUUUCAAGCUAUGGAUAUGGUAGCUUGCCAAAGACCAAGAGAAGGAAAUGGAUUCGAGGAGCAGUUGGAGAUUAAGGAAUAUUGGGAUAAACUUCUCAAAAAAUAAUGAGACGUUUACCGCGGAAUUUCAACAUAUAGGAAAUCCUACUAUAUUCAAUGCUAUUCAUAUUAUAUAAAUUAGGCUUAUAUAUGUCUACAUUAUAUCUUAUAAAAAUAAAGCUUAAAAAUAAAACUGAAUUUCAAUAAAUGAAC
Molecule: long non-coding RNA, 672 nt
Organism: Styela clava
Lineage: Eukaryota; Metazoa; Chordata; Ascidiacea; Stolidobranchia; Styelidae
Source: RefSeq, a predicted model, not a curated record